GUAAUAAUCCUGUAGUCGAAAAUGUUGUCUCUCUUGAGUGGAUCCUGAGUACGACGGAGCACGUGAAAUUCCGUCGGAAUCUGGGAGGACCAUCUCCUAAGGCUAAAUACUCUCUAGUGACCGAUAGUGAACCAGUACCGUGAGGGAAAGGUGAAAAGCACCCCGGAAGGGGAGUGAAAUAGAACCUGAAACCGUGUGCUUACAAGUAGUCAGAGCCCGUUAAUGGGUGAUGGCGUGCCUUUUGUAGAAUGAACCGGCGAGUUACGAUUUGAUGCAAGGUUAAGCAGUAAAUGUGGAGCCGUAGCGAAAGCGAGUCUGAAUAGGGCGUUUAGUAUUUGGUCGUAGACCCGAAACCAGGUGAUCUACCCUUGGUCAGGUUGAAGUUCAGGUAACACUGAAUGGAGGACCGAACCGACUUACGUUGAAAAGUGAGCGGAUGAACUGAGGGUAGCGGAGAAAUUCCAAUCGAACCUGGAGAUAGCUGGUUCUCUCCGAAAUAGCUUUAGGGCUAGCCUCAAGUGAUGAUUAUUGGAGGU
RNAcentral lists this ribosomal RNA (536 nucleotides) under Staphylococcus aureus. RNAcentral's name for it is "partial 23S ribosomal RNA". It matches the Rfam family "Bacterial large subunit ribosomal RNA", at positions 364 to 903 of the family's 2925-position model. The record is from RNAcentral. Lineage: Bacteria; Bacillati; Bacillota; Bacilli; Caryophanales; Staphylococcaceae.